UCCACAUCUUAUAGACAGACAGGUGUCAUACUGUCUUCUCAGACACUUUUUAUCCUUGAUGCAAAGCAAAUCUCACUCAACCCUUUGCAGACCUCUGAACUGUCAAAGGUCUAGAAUAAAGAGACACCCCGGUAAUUGCAUCACGUGAGUGGGGAGGAGGUUGGAGGGAGUCAUCACUCAAGAAUGCAUGCCCGCAUGUCAGCUCCUAUACGGGAUCUGGCACUGGACAUGUUAGAUCAUGCACGGAGGAGAUGCACAGGGUACACUGCUGCUGGCAGAUGCAUGCUGCUAAGCCGGGUUGCUUUGAAGAUGGGAAAGAGUGAAGAACGAAGAUGAUGCAACUUAUUUAAAGAAGGCUUGGGAGAGUGAGACAAAGAAUUCAGAUCUGAUAUCCAAACCACUGCCUUAAAUUUUCUGUCAAUAACCUUUCAACUUCAUGCUAUGCAAUAAACAUUCAAGCUGGGCAUAAAUACAAAGAAAAGCUGCAGCUGUUUUUAAAAAUGGGUACCUAAGCUCAUGUAUUCAUAGGUAGACAUGAAUAAAUAGCUAAAUGUUCAGGACAUCUUUAGGCAUGUGAUUUCACUAUAUCUGUGUAUUUUUUGAUUUUUUAUUUCUCAUUUUCUAAUAAGCACUUCUAUGUGGGUAUACUGUAUGAAAGUAUUACUGAAAAGAAAAAGGUACUCUACAGAGUACCUGUGCAUGUAGCAGCAUUUAGGCAGCAAAAAUUACUCAUCAUGGGAACACUGAGGUUAGGAAAGCAGGUCAACAAUAAGUUGUUUCACCUAUGGCAAGGAACGAGUUGUCUCUUUUUGGCCUAGAGAACAUCACACAGUAAUGAUACAGUUUCUGGGCAAAAGAAAACAACAGGGAAAAUAAGCAUAAUUUUUUCUUCAGAUACUUGUCUUUCUAGAGUACUUUAGUCCAGAUUUUUUUUUUUUUUAAAUUUUUGCUCAUCUCUAUUUUUUCUUUUAGGUCUCACUAUUUAGCUUUCAGGAUAAUAUUACCUGAAGAGUUACUAUUCAGCUCAUUCUUACUAAUCAAGCCUUUCUAGUGCUUUUGAUUUAAAAUCCUGAAAUAUCUCUUCUAACGGUAUGUUUAAAGCUCAUAGUCAUAACAUAGGAAUAUCUCCAGACAAUAAAGGAGACAAGAUAUAUAUGCCUGACUUUAAUCCUAUUGCCAUGCAGCAGUUUUCUUUCCAUGGCAGUCUGAAAUGGAGUUUCCUUUAAAAGCCCAGAAAAAUAUAUGUACAUUUUUGAAGGUGAACUCCAGGACAGCACAUUCAGUGCAGCUGGGCACCGAUGAAGUAUAAUUGGUAAAUGUAAUUCCAGCCUCGCCGUUCAUAAUGUCUAAAGGAACAAGCAGAAAUUUGCCAUCCUGUUAGUUAACUGUGGUAGCUAAUUGUAGUUCUAGACUAUGUAUAUAGCAAAUCCUCA
This 1433-nucleotide long non-coding RNA is filed under the name Cairina moschata (Muscovy duck). RNAcentral's name for it is "domestica (muscovy Duck (domestic type)) lncRNA (ENSCMMG00000014284.1)". The record is from RNAcentral. Lineage: Eukaryota; Metazoa; Chordata; Aves; Anseriformes; Anatidae.